This 460-nucleotide ribosomal RNA is filed under the name uncultured marine microorganism. RNAcentral describes it as "bacterial SSU rRNA". It matches the Rfam family "Bacterial small subunit ribosomal RNA", at positions 355 to 830 of the family's 1533-position model. The record is from RNAcentral.
UGGGGAANCUUCCGCAAUGGGCGAAAGCCUGACGGAGCAAUACCGCGUGAGGGAGGAACGCCUUUGGGUUGUAAACCUCCUUUCUCAGGGAAGAAGAUCUGACGGUACCUGAGGAAUAAGUAUCGGCUAACUCCGUGCCAGCAGCCGCGGUAAUACGGAGGAUGCAAGCGUUAUCCGGAAUCGUUGGGCGUAAAGCGUCCGCAGGUGGUUUCCAAAGUCUGCUGUUAAAGACUGGAGCUCAACUCCGGAGCGGCGGUGGAAACUUGGAAACUAGAGUUCGGUAGGGGUAGCAGGAAUUCCCAGUGUAGCGGUGAAAUGCGUAGAUAUUGGGAAGAUCAUCGGUGGCGAAGGCGUGCUACUGGACCGUAACUGACACUCAGGGACGAAAGCCAGGGGAGCGAAAGGGAUUAGAUACCCCUGUAGUCCUAGCUGUAAACGAUGGAAACUAGGUGUGGCUUGA